GAUGAACGCUGGCGGCGUGCCUAAUACAUGCAAGUCGAGCGAACAGACGAGGAGCUUGCUUCUCUGACGUUAGCGGCGGACGGGUGAGUAACACGUGGAUAACCUACCUAUAAGACUGGGAUAACUUCGGGAAACCGGAGCUAAUACCGGAUAAUAUAUUGAACCGCAUGGUUCAAUAGUGAAAGACGGUUUUGCUGUCACUUAUAGAUGGAUCCGCGCCGCAUUAGCUAGUUGGUAAGGUAACGGCUUACCAAGGCAACGAUGCGUAGCCGACCUGAGAGGGUGUACCGCCACACUGGAACUGAGACACGGUCCAGACUCCUACGGGAGGCAGCAGUAGGGAAUCUUCCGCAAUGGGCGAAAGCCUGACGGAGCAACGCCGCGUGAGUGAUGAAGGUCUUCGGAUCGUAAAACUCUGUUAUUAGGGAAGAACAAAUGUGUAAGUAACUAUGCACGUCUUGACGGUACCUAAUCAGAAAGCCACGGCUAACUACGUG
This 497-nucleotide ribosomal RNA is filed under the name uncultured bacterium. RNAcentral describes it as "partial 16S ribosomal RNA". It matches the Rfam family "Bacterial small subunit ribosomal RNA", at positions 28 to 507 of the family's 1533-position model. The record is from RNAcentral.